GUCUCAAACUCUUAUGUGUGUAUAAAUCAUGUAGGGAGCCUGUGGAUAUGUAGUUUCUAACUCUGUGAUGGGACCUGAGAUUCUGCACUUCUAGCAAGCUCCCAGGGAAUGCCAAUGUUGUCGAUCUGUGGGCCCCUCUGAGCAGCAGAGAAACCUGAGGAAGUGUUAAUGCUAAUAACUAUCACCUUAGGGGUCUGAGAACUAACAUUGGCUCAACCAGUUGCCACAGCGACAAAACUGCCACCCUUCAGCACAGCAAGGGGGGUUUGGGGAUGUAUCACCCCACAGCAGUGGCAGCUCAAAGGGUGCCAUCCAAGAGAGCAGCUCAUCAGGAGGAAACAAGUCUUCUGAAUGUCAGCAACGGGGAGCCGGAGAGUCCCCACGGUAUCCUUCACACCCCUCUGCAGUCCAGGAAGCUCACAAAGUUCUGUGUAUGGUUUGGUCUGUGGCAUCUUCCAGAGCUGGGGCUCAGUGGGGAGAGCCACACAGUGCAUUGGCCAGGACCCAGAGAUGAGACCAAUCCUCAGAGCCUAGCAAAGGUUCAGAUCCAACCAUCAGGCAACAGAUGACUGACCAAAC
RNAcentral lists this long non-coding RNA (579 nucleotides) under Felis catus (domestic cat). RNAcentral's name for it is "lncRNA (ENSFCAG00000051472.1)". Lineage: Eukaryota; Metazoa; Chordata; Mammalia; Carnivora; Felidae. The record is from RNAcentral.